Molecule: long non-coding RNA, 515 nt
Organism: Orcinus orca (killer whale)
Lineage: Eukaryota; Metazoa; Chordata; Mammalia; Artiodactyla; Delphinidae
Exons: 3
Source: RefSeq, a predicted model, not a curated record
CGCUUCUUGGCCAUCAGGUUGGCCGCGGGGCUGCUGCUCCUGAUGCGGCUGGGCCUACCGCCGCCGCUGCUGGACAGCUGCUGCAGCUCCAGCUUCCCUGGGUGCUUGGACCUCUGCAGCUCCUCAGGGGGAAAUUUCCUGCUUGCUUGGGAAAGCUCCAGACUGCUUUUACUGUGAGGACUCUGCAUAACGAGCAAAAACCAAAGAAGACCUUGAAGUUGUAUAAGUGGUAAAGAGCUGAGUAAAGGGGUGGAGUGAGAACGGUGUGUGUGUGUGGGGGGGGGCGGCGAGUGAUACCAACAAAGGUGUCGGUACAGUGUCCCGUGCAAAUACCACAGCUGCAGCUCUAAGAAAAACCACGUGGGAUUUGGAACUCAUCCUCGGCUCUACCUCCAGUUCUUGGAAAAUCAGAGCUCUUCCAGAAGCACACUGCAUAGUGGUUAAGACCAGAUGCUCUCUUAUCUCUUCUAGGUUUGGGAACUUGAGUGACUUGCUUAACCUCUCCAUGUCUCAGU